RNAcentral lists this ribosomal RNA (496 nucleotides) under uncultured bacterium. Its description in RNAcentral is "partial 16S ribosomal RNA". It matches the Rfam family "Bacterial small subunit ribosomal RNA", at positions 28 to 507 of the family's 1533-position model. The record is from RNAcentral.
GAUGAACGCUGGCGGCGUGCCUAAUACAUGCAAGUCGAGCGAACAGACGAGGAGCUUGCUCCUCUGACGUUAGCGGCGGACGGGUGAGUAACACGUGGAUAACCUACCUAUAAGACUGGGAUACUUCGGGAAACCGGAGCUAAUACCGGAUAAUAUAUUGAACCGCAUGGUUCAAUAGUGAAAGACGGUUUUGCUGUCACUUAUAGAUGGAUCCGCGCCGCAUUAGCUAGUUGGUAAGGUAACGGCUUACCAAGGCAACGAUGCGUAGCCGACCUGAGAGGGUGAUCGGCCACACUGGAACUGAGACACGGUCCAGACUCCUACGGGAGGCAGCAGUAGGGAAUCUUCCGCAAAGGGCGAAAGCCUGACGGAGCAACGCCGCGUGAGUGAUGAAGGUCUUCGGAUCGUAAAACUCUGUUAUUAGGGAAGAACAAAUGUGUAAGUAACUAUGCACGUCUUGACGGUACCUAAUCAGAAAGCCACGGCUAACUACGUG